CCAAUAGCGUAUAUUAAAGUUGUUGCAGUUAAAAAGCUCGUAGUUGAACUUCGGGGUUUACCCAUUGGUCAGGCUUAAUUGUCUGCACUGGUGAGAUGGAUCUCUACCUUCUGAGGAACUUUCAUGCCAUUUAUUUGGUGUGAUGGGAAAUCAGGACUGUUACUUUGAAAAAAUUAGAGUGUUUAAAGCAGACUAUCGUC
RNAcentral lists this ribosomal RNA (200 nucleotides) under uncultured Diversispora. RNAcentral describes it as "partial small subunit ribosomal RNA". It matches the Rfam family "Eukaryotic small subunit ribosomal RNA", at positions 591 to 792 of the family's 1831-position model. Lineage: Eukaryota; Fungi; Glomeromycota; Glomeromycetes; Diversisporales; Diversisporaceae. The record is from RNAcentral.